This 1775-nucleotide long non-coding RNA is filed under the name Setaria viridis. RNAcentral describes it as "long non-coding RNA (SVIR_LNC005253)". Lineage: Eukaryota; Viridiplantae; Streptophyta; Magnoliopsida; Poales; Poaceae. The record is from RNAcentral.
CCCGGACGCUGGUGGUGCGGUGCUCUUCCUCUCGUUAGCAUAGCAGUGCAGUAAGCCAGUGGCCAGUAGUAACCUUUGUUGGAGGAAGGCGAAGAUGCUGGAGAAGCUGUGGGACGACGUGGUGGCCGGGCCUCACCCGGAGACGGGGCUCGAGAAGCUCCGCAAGGCCGCCACCCCCCGCCCGAUCGUCAUCGACAAAGGUAGCGCGGUUUUCUACCACUAGUUGUUAUGGUAGCAGUUUGGAACAAAACUUAAUCAAGAUAUAUGAAGCACCAAUGCAAACUGAUCUGAUGUCUAACGACGGACUCUCUCAACUACUACAGAUCUGCUUAAAAGAAGGCUCAUGAAAUCAUGAUCUGCUUAAUUUGUUAAUACUUUCUCGAGGACCAAAAAUGGUUUAAAAGAAAAACUAAUUAACGGAGCAUCCUAGACAUGUUAAGCUGUACACGUAUGAUGAUGAUCUUGCGUUAAGAACUAACCCCUAAAAAAAACUUUGUUCUCAAGAUGCCGUUGCUGCUGCCGGGAGCUACAAGCGGACGCAGUCGAUGCCGUCGACCCCGACGACGCCGGGGACGCCGUCGUCGUCGACGACGCCGCGCGGCGGCAACAACGUGUGGCGCAGCGUGUUCCACCCCGGGAGCAACCUGGCCACCAAGAGCAUGGGCGCCAACCUCUUCGACCGCCCGCAGCCCAACUCCCCCACCGUCUACGACUGGUAAGCGCCGUCCAUGGUCUCAAUGCCCCGGCAUCUCUCUGCCGUCCUCGCCGUCCUUUGGUUUAUACUUCGUAUUAGUACUUAGCAGUAGGAUGAUCUCUACUUAGUAGUACUAUAUGGUUUGAUUGCUUACUAUAGUAGUACUAUGCUGAUCUGCCAAGGCUCAGAUCGAGCAGAGCAUCAAAGCAGGUGCCCUCUGAGACUUAGCUGAAUGAAUGAUUACUGUUUCUGUUUCAAACACCAGAAUAAGCAGGUCAACUAGCUAGUGAGCCAUGAGGUUAGCACUAAACUGAAUGGUUACUGUUUCUGUUUCAAGACCGACCCCCCCCCCCCCCCCCUAAGCAGAUGAACUAGGUAUUCAGUUAGCACUAAACAAAGGCAACUCAGGAGCCACUUAUAGCGCACCAUGAUUUGCUCACGUGGCAUGCUAAUCCAGAAGCACGAUCGACUAGUGCUACUGCUUGGUGUUUGCUGGAACGGAUAGGCCACUCUGGUCUCCGUUUCUCCAAUAUAAAACUAACCUGCGAAAAUGAUCGGUCAUGUCAUUUGAGCUUCAGCGUUAUCAUCACGAGUCAUGACCUGGGAUUGUUCUUUUUAUUUCAGGCUCUACAGCGACGAGACCAGGAGCAACCACCGUUAGAUCUCGGAUCGGGUUGGAUGAGAUCGACGGAGGAGCGGUGGCCGGUCCCUGUCAGGCCACAUGUUUGCUGGUCCUUGUGGUUAUCUAAAACGCAUGUACCACGGCUGCGUUGCUGUCCGAGGCUAAAGACUUUGCCUUUUAUUUAAUUUUGUCCUAUGUUAUGGACUAGGGAGUAAAAUGCUUACUACUACUGUCAGUUCCUCUGACUCGAUCAGCUUGGCCGCUGAGUGGUAGCGACCGGCGGGCCCUGUGAUGGGAACCCUUGUGCUUGGUGUGUAGUUGCUUCUCUGCAUCUGUAAAUAUGCUCGCGUGUAAUGGGAUAUGUCAAUCGUAUUGUUUCUUCCAUGUUUAGUUUCCAAACCUUUGACGUGUAAUCCUUCCGUCCCACGGAGACUCUGUUUAGUUUUCAAAAUUUGUUCC